UACGAAGGGGGCUAGCGUUGCUCGGAAUCACUGGGCGUAAAGGGUGCGUAGGCGGGUUUUUAAGUCAGGGGUGAAAUCCUGGAGCUCAACUCCAGAACUGCCUUUGAUACUGAAGAUCUUGAGUCCGGGAGAGGUGAGUGGAACCGCGAAUGUAGAGGUGAAAUUCGUAGAUAUUCGCAAGAACACCAGUGGCGAAGGCGGCUCACUGGCCCGGUACUGACGCUGAGGCACGAAAGCGUGGGGAGCAAACAGG
RNAcentral lists this ribosomal RNA (253 nucleotides) under uncultured bacterium. RNAcentral describes it as "partial 16S ribosomal RNA". It matches the Rfam family "Bacterial small subunit ribosomal RNA", at positions 524 to 776 of the family's 1533-position model. The record is from RNAcentral.